CUCAGCCACAGUGAGGUAGACGACGCCGUCCUCCUCAUCAAGGAGGCUAAGAAUGGGGCACCUGGGCACCUUCUUGGGCAGCUUCAGCUCUUCGUAGGUUGGAUCAGCCCACACAUCAAUGAUACGGAAGGAUCCGCCUUUCUUCCAUACUGAGUUUGAGAUGCAGAGAGUCCAUGUUGUGAGGGUGAUCAGGUCGUCAAUGUCGCUGGCUGGAUUCAUGUGAACGAACCUGACAGUGUCACCACGAACACUGCACAUGGAGCUGAAGUCCCUUGGCCUCCCCCGGCCUUGCUCAGGAUGCCAUGACCGGGAGUAUCCCUUGGGCAAGGAUAUGAACCGAAACUUUGGAUCAUCCAUAACCUUGUCGCAGAUCAGGAUGCCCUUAAGGAGAUCCACCCAGCAUAUAGAAUUGUCUCCCAGCGCGAACACGACAUCAGCACAGAAAAUGUAAGCAGGGUCAGACGGGAGGGGAAACGGGAGCACAACCUCCUUGUUGAUCCACUGGCCUGCGACGGCGCCGGAGGAACACCACGUGAACAGAGUAGCCUGUGUUGACGAGGUGCGGUGGUAGAGGAGCUCGGCGAGCACGUACUCGCUAGGCGGGUCGUGGCGGAGGACGGCGGUCCCGGCUCCGACGCCACGGUGGGUGAACUGCGAGGCGGAGGACGGCGGCAGCGGCAGGACGGCGGCGAGGGAGUUGGCCAAGGAGUCGUAGACCAGGUAGAAACCCGGCGGAGGGAACGUGGGCCGGUACGGCCCGGCGUACAUGGCGAUGAUGUUGUGGUCGGCGCCCGCUAUGGAUGCGCCGCUGGGGAACUGGUUGAAGGUGUCGCGUGCUCCGGCGGACACGCUGAGCACGAGGGAGGCGACUCCGGGGGGGUGGGGGAUCUCGAGGUGGGGCUCGAUCCCAUCCAGGAUUGCAAGGUAGAGGGCGGCUUCCCAACCGCCGAAAGCCACCAGCUUGCGCACCGCGCUGGGGUUGGAGGCCCUGCGCUCGCGCAAGAUGUCCUCCGCCGGCCACUCCAGCUCUCUCCGGUACCGGAGGAGCCCCUCGGCGACCGCCCUUUGCUGCGCCGCCGCCCGUUCUUUCGGGCUGACUGACGGCGGGAACGGGAUGUGGCCCCAGAAGGGCGGGUGCGACGGCCCGCCGUUUUCCACGAUCAAGGCUGAUACCUCGUCUAUGAUCGGGAUGAAGGCAUCAACCAACACCAUGAACGGAUCUGGCGGAUCCACUGCUCCGUUGGUCAUGGACGGUGUGCGGGGCGACUGUAACGAGAUAAAAUAGGAUCUGAAGUUGGGUCUGGGGUGGUGCGAGCGGUAUAGAGGCGCGGCCAUGGCUUCGCAGCGGAUGCGGCGGCCCCCGGUAGGGGAGGAGGGAUAUCUCGAGGAGGAAGAGGGGAGCGCAAGCGCAAGACGGCGGCUGUUCUUUUCUUUUUCGUUUUCUUUUAGACGGCGGCUGUUGGGGAUGGGGUAAAGAGGACGUGCGAAUGAUCUAGAAGCAAGCAACCCGCAAACGUAACGUGAUUGGACUGUGAUGUGAAUGCGUUAACAACUUAAUAACGUGUUUAACGGGAGCUCAUGUAGCAUGUGAAAACUAGUUUAAGGCUCGUAACUUUAAAAUCCAUUUAAUUCAAAUUAAAAGUCUAAGUCAACUUUUGAACACACUACAUUCAACAUUUUCUAAAACCUACGCUAACAUUGAAAAAUAUUAGAUUCAAUAUUUUCUAAAAUGUAGAUCAAUAUUUUGUAAAAUAUACUAUAUUCAACAUUUUUCAAUGUCUAUUUCAACAUCUAUUUCAACAUUUUCGGUCAAAAAAUGUCUAUUUCAAUGUCUCGACAAAAAAUGAUUCACCAUUUUUAAAUCGGUCAAAAAAUAUCUAUUUCAAUGUCUCGACACAAAAUGAUUCACCAUUUUUAAAUAAAAAUCAAUAUUUUAAAAUACUACUUUUUUUCUUCUUCUUGAUGUCUGGUGAAUAGGGGUGCAGCAGUGGGGCUGCACAUGGGGGAUGGCGGCUAGCGCAAAGGGGGUGCAACGGUGGUGGGCGACGAGCGCGAGGGUAGUAGCGGGGCCGUGCACAAGGAAGACGGCGGAUGGCGUGCAUGGGUGAGGAAGGGGAUACACGCACGCGUGGCGGCAUGCGAGCAGUAACAAAGCAAACAAAAGGAGGAGGAGUGAAGGCGGCUCGAUUGUAUAUGGUAUUAGGGUUGACAAAGGUGGAGCAACAUCCAUCGAAUGAUGUUGCAUGCACGGAUCUCCAACACAGAAAGUUCAGUACCAAAUGGACUUGAGCAAUAUUCUGACCGGGCCCAAAAGACUCAAUAACUUUUGAUUUCAAAAUCCGUGCCCACGAUCAUCACAAAUACAAAACUUGUUUUUUCAAGUCUACCAUGAGCUUCCCUUUUUAGAAAAUAAAUAAAACUAUUUAUAUAGAGUAGCUCAAAUUUUUCUAGCCUUAUGUUCCAUGCCCAAAUGAAUAGUACCACUGGCCAGGCCAAACCUGUGGAUUCAGAUCGGGGUGAAAAUGCUCAGGUCCAAGUAACCCUAACAAAAAUAUUAAGAUAGUACCAACCCUGCACCUAGAAUAGUUUCUAUAUUAUUAAUUCCAUUGCCAUAUAGGACUUUUAGCUUAUGUGGUACUAUAUGUAUCGGUGUUUAGUAUUGCCAACUAGUAAUUUGCAUUGCGUGUCCUUGACUCUCGAUGGCAAGCACUCAGACUCGAGGUAUUAUACUGGUUCGAACGAAUGCCCUACGUCCAGUAAGAAGUCGGAGUUUGUGUUCCUCGAGCUCAAGAGCUCAGCGCUUACAACGUGACGCUUGCAAGCAUGAGAACAAUGGCGGAGGCGGGGUGCAAGAAUUUUUUAACACCCCUGCUGUAGUUUACGUGAUCUUGGACCAAAAUAUUGCUUAGGCAGGCUUAAAUGAAUUGUUAGCGUAAGGGCCCUUCAGUUCUUUGCUAGCUGCAGCGUGGAGAACCUGGAGACAAUCGAUCGCUCCGAGGAAAAAAAGAACGCGAAAGGUCAUGGCAAACUCGCAGUUUCAGUUCGUCGCCCCCUCGUUUCCCCAGUUUACAAAUACCUAACUCUACCUCACAUCCAUAUCCAUGGCAGCACAGGGCGACGAAAAAGGGAGAUCAAGCGACUGAUUAAUUGCACCAGCCGCGCGAGACAUCGGGGAAAUCUCAAGACGUCGUCUCUCGGCCGUCAGGUUCUCGAGAUCAACUAAUCAAGAACUUAAAUUUCCUUCCCUUUGCUUGCAAUCUACGCUACCAAGGUAACUAGUGAGUAGUGAAACUUCGUUGAAUCAUUUUGUUUGGUUAAUUUCACUUUGAUUUACUUUGUGCAGUCAGCAACUUGUAGAUGGUAACUGAUCAAUUAUUUUCUUUGAAGGAUAAUCAUGGUACUAAAAAGGAAGACACUGGAUUCUUUUUACCAGAAGAAAGAUAGUGUGCCUGAUGUACUCGAAAACCCUGAACAAAUUGGAGUUGUUCCUUGACUCUAAGACAGAUGAAGUUGCUGCCUAGCUUGCUGCACAGCAAGGAGAGGAAGAAGAUGAAGAGGUCGCAGAGGAAAUUCCUAGGCAAUCACCACCUAAAGUUCAGAGAAUCAAUUCUGAAGGUAUUAGUGUUCUAGUAGUGGAACGAGAUUCAGGUCUAUGUCGCCAAAUUUGGGAUUAUCCUCCCAAUGAACAAGACCAAGUUGUCAAAGCGUACAUAAAGCAUGGUUCAUACCAAUUUCUUAAGGAUGAGUACCCUUCUUCCGGUUCAAAGAAACACCCACACAGAUUUCAGGUUCAUUGGUUCAAUCUUUUCCUUGGUUAGAAUAUUCACCUACAAAAGAUGCAGCCCGUUGCUUUCCAUGCUUUCUAUUUUCUAAGAAGCCGGUUAUAAAAGUAGGAUCAGAUGCCUUCACAAUGAAAGGGUUUAGAAGUUGAAAAAAGUUAGUAAUGGGAAAUAGUGUGCCUUCCUGACUCACAUGGGAAAGGAUUGUGAUCAGCUCAUAAAUACAAUGUUCAAUGUUACGAGAAUUUGAAGAAUCAGCCAUGUCAUAUUGAGCAUGCAGUUGAGAAGCAAACCAAUGAAGAGAUCAAAAAUAAUAGACUGUCUUAGAGCAUCAAUUGAUGCAAUCCGAUGGUUAGCUUCCUAGGCUUGUCCCUUCAGAGUACAUGACGAAUUUGUUGACUCAUAGAGCCAAUAUAACUUUAUUGAAACGGUAAAACUUCUAGCUUCAUAUGAUGACGAGGUCAAGGCAGUGAUUCUAGGUAAUACUCCACAGAAUGCAACAUACACUUCAGCACAAAUUCAGGAUCUUAUUGCUAGUAAUGUGCAAACAUUAAUUCAUUAAUUCAUAAUGAAAUAAGAGAUGUUAAGUUUUGCUUGGUUGUUGUUGAAUCAAGAGAUGAGUCAAGAAAAGAACAAAUGUCAGUUGUUCGUUUUGUAGAUAAAGAAGGCUUUAUCAGAAAAUGGUUUCUUGACCUUAUUCAUGUUCAUGAUACAUGCUCUGAAACUCUCAAAUAAGAAUUGUGCUCUAUUUUAGCUUACCGUAAAUUGGAUGUUCAAAAUAUUCAUGGACAAGGAUAUGAUGGUGCUAGUAACAUGCGAGGAGAGUGGAAUGGACUCCAAGCAUAAUUUAUGAAAGUGUGACCUUAUGCAUAUUAUGUUCAUUGCUUGGCUCAUCAAUUAUAGUUAGCUCUUGUUGGUGCAUCCAAAGAAGUAAUUGAGGUUCAUAAUUUUUUUGAACAUCUACCUUUUAUUGUCAAUACUGUUUUAUCUUCCAGUAAGAGAAAUGAUGACCUGCAUGACAAUCAAGUUGCUGAAAUGGAGCAUCUAAUUGAGCUUAACGAGCUUGAAACUGGAAUUGGUGCCAACCAAAUUGGAACCUUGCAUCGUCCUGGUUGUACUAGGUGGAGCUUGCAUUAUGGUUCAGUUUGCAGCCUUUUGAAACUUUACAAGCCUACAAUACCUGGUGCUGAAAGAUAUUGCUACCAGUAAAGGUUCGGGAACUACAGCUUAUGGACAAACAAAGGCUGCUGGUGUUGUUACAUUAAUGAUGUCAUCUGACUUUGUUUUUAUUUUGCAUGUUGUGAAAAAACUCAUGGGUAUCAUAGAUCUACUUUGCAAAAAAGCUAAAAAAAAUCUCAGGAUAUUGUCAAUGCUAUGGAUGAUGUUGCCACUACCAAAAAGUUGUUCCAGAAUUUAAGAGAUAAUGGUUGGAGAUCCUGCAAGGAAGAUCCACGUCGGAGUUCUGGAGCUAGGGUCAUCAAGAUCAAGGUAGGAUCCUGGAGGAGAUCUGGUGAUGUACAAUCAUUCAUGGUGAAGUAAUAGAUGUGUUCUUGUUCUUAGCGAUCUAAGUGCCUCCUUCUAUGGUUUUAUACUUUAUCGGGUUUGCUUUCUUUUCAAUCUAUGAUCGAUGAUAGAUUACAUAGGUGUUCUUGUAGUCGUGGUGACUAGAUUUGCAUACCUGAUCUACCAAUGAGUAUAACAUGUUCUUAUGAUCGUGCCCUUAGACUAUCUGUGCUAAUAGAAGUGAUCGUGAUAGGAUCUUUCUUGUACCGGAGGUGUAGAUUUAAAGAGACUUUUUGCCAAGAUCAUAUAUGUGUUGCUUUGCUACCGUUGCUCAGAAUUACAACAUAUGCGUAGUUUAGGUUGCUCUAGAUUGGUUACCUCUACUUAUCUGUUAUCCAUCUGUAUAUGCUAGAUUAGAUCUGAAUCACCAUCAACAUAGAGUUCAUACUAACAAUGCUUGUUAAAGUAGAUCUUGUGUUAUAAGUUUCUUGAAUUGAUAAAUCUUGGAAGAAUAUUCUAAGGGAAGGGCUACAACUAAUCCGUGCGCUUGCAGUCCACAAUUGGCAUGCUAACUGCCAUAAACAGAAACCGAUUUAAAAAACAAAAAAAAGGAAAAAGUUGCUCACCGACCGCCGGGCCAGCUCCCUCGCCACACGUUGCCAGAUCCUCCACCAGUAGCCCACGCGCGAGGGGCAGCCAUCGCCGGAGCCGUGCCGCCCACUAGGCCCUUGCCGGCCGCGGGUCGGAGUGUCUUGUCACGCGAUUCCAAUGCUAUCCGGUUCCUAUGCUGCGUCGUAGGAGGCAUGCCUGGUGCUGUGCUGCUGUUGGCGCUCGUUAUUGCUACCCUUUUAGUGUUAUUUAAGUAGUAUUUUUGGAUUAAAUCUUAUACUAACCCGCAUACUAACCCGCCACUUGACACAUGACAUAACCUCAUAUUUGCAUAUGUGUUGUAUUUGGACUAUAUUGCAAAAUAGCAGGAAAUACGGGAUAAUAAUGUCAUACAAGCGAUGAAAAUAGCAUCCAAAAAUGUAAAUCCGACUGCAUUGAUGCUCUAUGAGGCGGACACACCUGAACCUUUGCCCUCCCUCCUAAGUUUAUCAUGACUAGUCAGCAAUAGCAACCACAACAGUGCCCACGAAGCGCUCUUUAAAAGGUUUCCAAAAUUACUACGAGCAUCAAUAAAAUUCAUAGGAGAUGAAACUAUGGAUCAGUUUGGGAGGGAUUCUCUCAAAAUGACUUCACCAGUGAUAUGCCAAAGCCGGUAAAGUUAAAAGUAGUGGCUUCACCCAAUUUCAAGUUCAUUUUAACCUCAGAUCACAAAACGGCUUCAAGCUACAUUACCUCGUUUUGCGCAAAACAGGUGAAAUUGAAGUCGAAAUGAGCCCUCCAAGCGGUACCUAUACAUUUACCUCGUUCAAGUGCAUGGUAGCCUCAACUGCCAUUAUGCGGCUAAAACGUCGGCCUCCAGGAAGUAACCUGAUGCCAGAAACUACCAUCCCACGUUCCACAUCAACAGAGAACACAUACUGGCAGUUGUCCUCAGCCACAGUGAUCAGACAACGCCGUCCUCUUCAUCAAGGAGGCUAAGAAUGGGGCACCUGGCGGGCACCUUCUUGGGCAGCUUCAGCUCUUCGUAGGUUGGAUCAGCCCACACAUCAAUGAUACGGAAGGAUCCGCCUUUCUUCCAUACUGAGUUUGAGAUGCAGAGAGUCCAUGUUGUGAGGGUGAUCAGGUCGUCAAUGUCGCUGGCUGGAUUCAUGUGAACGAACCUGACAGUGUCACCACGAACACUGCACAUGGAACUGAAGUCCCUUGGCCUCCCCCGGCCGUGCUCAGGAUGCCAUGACCGGGAGUAUCCCUUGGGCAAGGAUAUGAACCGAAACUUUGGAUCAUCCAUAACCUUGUCGCAGAUCAGGAUGCCCUUAAGGAGAUCCACCCAGCAUAUAG
This 7229-nucleotide long non-coding RNA is filed under the name Setaria viridis. RNAcentral describes it as "long non-coding RNA (SVIR_LNC007520)". The record is from RNAcentral. Lineage: Eukaryota; Viridiplantae; Streptophyta; Magnoliopsida; Poales; Poaceae.